CGGCAGUGAGACGGUGGGGGAUAAGCUUCAUCGUCAGAAGGGAAACAACCCUGAUCAGCAGCUAAGGUGCCUAAACCAUGCUAAGUGGAAAGGAUGUGGGAUUUCGCAGACAGUGAGGAUGUUGGCUUAGAAGCAGCCACCAUUUAAAAAGUGCGUAAUAGCUUACUCAUCGAGAGAUCCUGCGCCGAAAAUGAUUGGCGAUAAGCAUGGUACCGAAGCUCUGGGUGUUCAUCUUAUGGAUGGGCGCGGUAGAGGAGCAUUCCCAACGCGUUGAAGGGUGAUGGCGACUGACCCUGGAGAGUUGGGAAGAGAGGAUGCAGACAUGAGUAACGAUAAGACCGGUGAAAUCCCGGUCCGCCGUAAACCCCAGGUUUCCCGGGCUACGUUUUUCGUCCCGGGGUUAGUCGGGACCUAAGCCGAGGCGGAUACGCGUAGGCGAUGGACAGCAGUUUAAUAUUACUGCACUUGCGAAACUCAAGUAGGGAGGACGCAUCAACAAAGGCCACUAGGUGAUUGAAUUCCGAGGUGAGGCUACGGCCGAUCCGUAUGGCUGGUGUUGGUGCCGAGAAAAGCCCCUAUGCAUGCUAAGCAACCCGUACCGUAAACCGACACAGGUGGGUGGGUAGAGUAUACCAAGGCGCAAGAGUGAACCCUGGUUAAGGAACUCGGCAAAUUAGCCCCGUAACUUCGGAAGAAGGGGUGCCCCAUGCAAAUGGGGCCGCAGUGAAAUGGCCCAACCGACUGUUUAGCAAAAACACAGCACUCUGCCAAGACGCAAGUCCAAGUAUAGGGUGUGACACGUGACCAAUGCGGAAAGAUUAAGGUAAGGGGUUAGUCGCAAGGCGAAGCUCUGAGCCCAAGUCCCCGUGAAUGUCGGCCGUAACAAUAACGGUCCUAAGGUAGCGAAAUUCCUUGUCGGGUAAGUUCCGACCUGCACGAAUCGUGUAACGAGUUGGGCACUGUCUCAACCAGGUGCUCAGUGAAAUUGUAAUGGCGGUGUAGAUGCCGCCUACCCGCAGAAGGACGGAAAGACCCUAUAGACCUUAACUGUAAGCUGUCAUUGGUUUUUCGAUUCUCAUGCUCAGCAUAAGUGGGAGACGUUGAUCUGGCCCUUUAGGGGGUCGGGGAGUCAUCAGUGAGAUACCACCCUUGGGUGUUGGAAGAUCUAACCCCGAUCCGUGAAACCGGACGGGAAACAGUGUCAGCCGGUCAGUUUUACUGGGGCGGUAUCCUCCCAAAGAGUAACGGAGGAGCGCGAAGGUGGGCUCAGCAUGGUCUGCAACCAUGUGUCGAGUGCAUAGGCAUAAGCCCGCCUAACUGUGAGGCCUACAAGCCGAGCAGAGACGAAAGUCGGCCUAAGUGAUCCGGCGGUAGAAUGUGGAAUUGCCGUCGCUCAACGGAUAAAAGGUACCUUAGGGAUAACAGGCUGAUUUCGCCCAAGAGUUCAUAUCGACGGCGAAGUUUGGCACCUCGAUGUCGGCUCGUCGCAUCCUGGGGCUGGAGAAGGUCCCAAGGGUCCGGCUGUUCGCCGGUUAAAGCGGCACGCGAGCUGGGUUCAGAACGUCGCGAGACAGUUCGGUCCUCUAUCCUCUGUGGGCGCAGGAAAACUGAGGGGUUCAAUUCCUAGUACGAGAGGACCGGAAUUGACGCACCUCUGGUGCACCGGUUGUCGUGUCAACGGCAUGGCCGGGUAGCUAUGUGCGGAAGGGAUAAGCGCUGAAAGCAUCUAAGCGCCAAGCCCCUCCCAAGAUGAGUUUUCCCUGAAGGAUCGUGGAAGACUACCACGUUGAUAGGCCGGAAGUGGAAGUGUAGCAAUAUAUGCAGCUUACCGGUACUAAUCAUCUG
This 1845-nucleotide ribosomal RNA is filed under the name metagenome. RNAcentral's name for it is "bacterial LSU rRNA". It matches the Rfam family "Bacterial large subunit ribosomal RNA", at positions 978 to 2911 of the family's 2925-position model. The record is from RNAcentral.